Molecule: ribosomal RNA, 253 nt
Filed under: uncultured bacterium
Lineage: Bacteria
Description: partial 16S ribosomal RNA
Rfam family: Bacterial small subunit ribosomal RNA
Source: RNAcentral
UACGUAGGUGGCAAGCGUUGUCCGGAGUUAUUGGGCGUAAAGCGCGCGCAGGCGGUGCGGUAAGUCUCUGGUGAAAGCGCUCGGCUUAACUGGGCGAGGGCCGGGGAGACUGCCACGCUGGAGGGGAGCAGAGGCGAGUGGAAUUCCGGGUGUAGUGGUGAAAUGCGUAGAGAUCAGGAGGAACACCGGUGGCGAAGGCGGGUCUCUGGGCCGUUACUGACGCUGAGGAGCGAAAGCGUGGGGAGCGAACAGG